RNAcentral lists this non-coding RNA (153 nucleotides) under uncultured Metasolibacillus sp. The record is from RNAcentral. Lineage: Bacteria; Bacillati; Bacillota; Bacilli; Caryophanales; Caryophanaceae.
AGUGCUCACAAUCGUGUGAGGUAAAAGGGAAGCCAGUUAGAUUCUGGGACAGCCCCCGCUACUGUAAUUGCAGAUGAAAUCACAAAGCCACCUUUGUCGGGAAGGCGUGAGAGUAAAAGGAAGCAUAAGUCAGGAAACCUGCUUUGUAUGAAG